Molecule: long non-coding RNA, 367 nt
Organism: Symphalangus syndactylus (siamang)
Lineage: Eukaryota; Metazoa; Chordata; Mammalia; Primates; Hylobatidae
Source: RefSeq, a predicted model, not a curated record
ACCAGGGUGAUGUGAAAAAGAGAUACUUCUCAAGCCUGGAGAUGAGACCUGGGUUACAGGAACUAGUGACAGAGUUAUGUAAAACCAAGCUUCACAGAAAAAGCUUGGACAGAAAAGCUGACUCAGUAUCUCUGAGUUACGUAUAUCUUCACAGGGGAGGAGAUGCAAACUGAGGCCCUGCUCACACACUCCAUCCACCUGGUAUAGCUUGCCUGCUUCCAAAUUAUCAGCCUGGCAAACUCAUGGUACCAAGUAAGGACAAAUGUCAUAGUCCUCCUGGGAAAUGGGCAACAGUGAAUUUUGCUAAUAAGGUGGAAAGUAAUUUUUAAGUGAUAUUUGGAUUAAAAUUGUGAUUUUUAAAACAUUA